GCUGCCAUGGUCUAGUGGUUAUGACGCUCCCUUCACAGUCCUUGCGUUCAGGAGAGGUCUCGAGUUCGACCCUCAAUCGCAGUA
Molecule: transfer RNA, 84 nt
Filed under: Parastagonospora nodorum SN15
Lineage: Eukaryota; Fungi; Ascomycota; Dothideomycetes; Pleosporales; Phaeosphaeriaceae
Description: Phaeosphaeria nodorum SN15 tRNA-Val for anticodon CAC
Rfam family: tRNA
About the family: Transfer RNA (tRNA) molecules are approximately 80 nucleotides in length. Their secondary structure includes four short double-helical elements and three loops (D, anti-codon, and T loops). Further hydrogen bonds mediate the characteristic L-shaped molecular structure. tRNAs have two regions of fundamental functional importance: the anti-codon, which is responsible for specific mRNA codon recognition, and the 3' end, to which the tRNAs corresponding amino acid is attached (by aminoacyl-tRNA synthetases). tRNAs cope with the degeneracy of the genetic code in two manners: having more than one tRNA (with a specific anti-codon) for a particular amino acid; and 'wobble' base-pairing, i.e. permitting non-standard base-pairing at the 3rd anti-codon position.
Source: RNAcentral